This 358-nucleotide long non-coding RNA is filed under the name Equus caballus (horse). RNAcentral describes it as "lncRNA (ENSECAG00000031972.3)". The record is from RNAcentral. Lineage: Eukaryota; Metazoa; Chordata; Mammalia; Perissodactyla; Equidae.
AGAGAGAUGAUGGUUGAAGCGUGCUUACCUACUGCAGAAGGAAGGCAAUGAAUGGUACCACUUCUGAUAAACUGAUGCAGCCAUUCCAGGGAGAAAAAUAUGUUCUUAACACAGCGUGACCAACUGGAUGUCUUCUAUAACCUGGCUACCGAUCUUCUCUGAAAAUCAUGCUGUCGAAUGAAGAUGCUGGACUCUAAAAGCCUCCGGACUUAAAAUGUUCUGAGUUCUUUUAUCAGUCUCCAUCAAAAUGCUGGCAUCCCUCAUUAUUGGAAGAUUAACCUCCAAGAUCAUUAAGCCAGACGAACCCCCAUUUGGGAAGAGGAAAUGUCUUCCUCCCCUACAGCAGCAACCACCUCAU